CGUCAGCUCGUGUUGUGAAAUGUUGGGUUAAGUCCCGCAACGAGCGCAACCCUUAUCCUUUGUUGCCAGCGGUCCGGCCGGGAACUCAAAGGAGACUGCCAGUGAUAAACUGGAGGAAGGUGGGGAUGACGUCAAGUCAUCAUGGCCCUUACGACCAGGGCUACACACGUGCUACAAUGGCGCAUACAAAGAGAAGCGACCUCGCGAGAGCAAGCGGACCUCAUAAAGUGCGUCGUAGUCCGGAUUGGAGUCUGCAACUCGACUCCAUGAAGUCGGAAUCGCUAGUAAUCGUGGAUCAGAAUGCCACGGUGAAUACGUUCCCGGGCCUUGUACACACCGCCCGUCACACCAUGGGAGUGGGUUGCAAAAGAAGUAGGUAGCUUAACCUUCGGGAGGGCGCUUACCACUUUGUGAUUCAUGACUGGGGUGAAGUCGUAACAAGGUAACCGUAGGGGAACCUGCGGUUGGAUCAC
This 473-nucleotide ribosomal RNA is filed under the name Escherichia coli. RNAcentral describes it as "bacterial SSU rRNA". It matches the Rfam family "Bacterial small subunit ribosomal RNA", at positions 1053 to 1526 of the family's 1533-position model. Lineage: Bacteria; Pseudomonadati; Pseudomonadota; Gammaproteobacteria; Enterobacterales; Enterobacteriaceae. The record is from RNAcentral.